Molecule: ribosomal RNA, 200 nt
Filed under: uncultured bacterium
Lineage: Bacteria
Description: partial 16S ribosomal RNA
Rfam family: Bacterial small subunit ribosomal RNA
Source: RNAcentral
AACGAACGCUGGCGGCAGGCUUAACACAUGCAAGUCGAACGCUCCGCAAGGAGAGUGGCAGACGGGUGAGUAACGCGUGGGAACCUUCCUAUUGGUUUGGAAUAGCUCAGGGAAACUUGGGGUAAUACCGGAUAAGCCCUACGGGGGAAAGAUUUAUCGCCAAUAGAUGGGCCCGCGUCUGAUUAGCUAGUUGGUGAGGU